RNAcentral lists this long non-coding RNA (256 nucleotides) under Erythranthe guttata (spotted monkey flower). RNAcentral describes it as "long non-coding RNA (EGUT_LNC001482)". Lineage: Eukaryota; Viridiplantae; Streptophyta; Magnoliopsida; Lamiales; Phrymaceae. The record is from RNAcentral.
UGAAAAUUCAACAAUUUUCACACAAAUCCAUAAGCAAUUGGACUCUAAAAUAUAUUAGAAUCAUAAAACCCAUACUUAACCAAACAAGAACACUCACAACCGAAAGUAUAACCAAACGAAUUGAGUAGAAUUAGGGAUUUAUGCAAAUAAAUUAAAAUUAGGAAAAUCACAAAUAAUGAAAGAAAUAGAUAGUGAGAACAAGAUGUCGAAGAGAGAGGGAGAGAUACGGGGAGACGACCGGGUCGGACCCGUCGGC